CCCUUAGAUGUUCUGGGCGGCCCGCGCACUACAAUGGCGCUUUCAGCGAGUCCCUAUGUUGAAUUUUCCUGGGUAUUCUUGGAAGCGGCGUCUUGACUUGGGAUAGAUCCUUGUAAUUGUUGGUUUUGAACGAGGAAUUCCUUGUAAUCGCGGUUGAUCAGCUCGCGUUGAAUACGUCCCUGCCCUUUGUACACACCGCCCGUCGCUCCUACCGAUGAAUCGUCCGGUGAAGUUCACAGAGUGGCGGUUCGUGGAGUUGCUCGCGAAGUGAAAUGGACCUCACGAUUUAGAGGAAGGAGAAGUCGUAACA
This 310-nucleotide ribosomal RNA is filed under the name uncultured eukaryote. RNAcentral's name for it is "partial 18S ribosomal RNA". It matches the Rfam family "Eukaryotic small subunit ribosomal RNA", at positions 1470 to 1796 of the family's 1831-position model. The record is from RNAcentral.